Molecule: long non-coding RNA, 217 nt
Filed under: Elaeis guineensis (African oil palm)
Lineage: Eukaryota; Viridiplantae; Streptophyta; Magnoliopsida; Arecales; Arecaceae
Description: long non-coding RNA (EGUI_LNC000633)
Source: RNAcentral
UUGGCCAUAAUGAACGUGUGCGCAUGUGCUCCAUAAGGUGAGGAUAGAUACCAGUCUUGCAGCCAUCUUAUUUUUAUUACUCUCUUCAUCUCAUAGCGGUUGUGUAUUGAAGUCAUGGCCUGAUUAAAAGAACCUUAGAAUAGCAAGAUAAAAAUUUAUCACCCUUUUUCCCCCUCAGUCACGGGCAUGGGCCACGCAACGUUACGGACUCGUGACA